This 734-nucleotide long non-coding RNA is filed under the name Mustela putorius furo (domestic ferret). RNAcentral's name for it is "lncRNA (ENSMPUG00000029638.1)". Lineage: Eukaryota; Metazoa; Chordata; Mammalia; Carnivora; Mustelidae. The record is from RNAcentral.
AUACAUAUGUCCAAUUUGAAAAAUUUAUUUAUAGGAACUUGAGGAGCAAGAAAGGGCUGGUGUGUGGCUACCAGGGAAUUGAUCUAGGAGCAGCGACGGGGGAAUACUUGGCUCUUGAGAUGGUCUUGGAGCCAAAGCUGACUAUUAUGGGGCUCAUUAUCUUGUGCACAGACAUCUGUGGUGACUUUCUAAAAAUCCCAGAAGACAUGGGAAAGAUGAGUAAGUGAUUGCAUUUAAAUAAGUUCAAAUCUAAUCAGGAAAAUCAGAUUCCAGGUUUGGGUUUUUUUUUUUUUUCUUUAAACUGAUUUAUCCAAUGAAUGACUGAAUUGCACUCGGAAGUAGGACCUAUAUCUAUUUUGUAAAUAUGAAAAAAGAAGACUGAGGCUUUGAUGUGAUUCCAUUUAUCUCUACAGAUGUUGCUGUCACCUCUGAUGAUUCCCAGGUUUUUACCUGCAGCCCCAACCUAUAUUUGAAGGAGCUGAUUUACAUAUUCAACUGCCAGGUGUCAUCUACUCUGGCCUGCGUCUGGCAAGGUUGAGGAACUCCCCUUCCUCCCAUGGGCCGGUGAGACCCCAAGGCCCUCACCUUGGGUUAGACCAGAAGACAACCCAUUUGACUAAUGGACACACCUGGAAGAGCCCUCUGUCUGCAGAGUGGUUAUAUUGCUGACACAAGUAGGACUGAGAGACAGGCUUUGAAGUUGGACGGCUUAGAGGAGGAGUCCCUCUUCCACC